UGGGUUCAUCUACGGUACCAGUACUACGGGGAACUGGGGCUGACGAACUCCUAAAACUGCUAGAAGAGGAGAUAUCAGAAGAUAUUUUGGAUCAAAUGGAAGCCACAAAAAUCUCAGAAAAUCAAGAAAAAAUAGAAAAAAGGUCCCCGAGAAAGCUAAACAAAUAGAAUACGAAAAAAAGGAUAGGAAAACAUCAGGAAAUUCCAGAACUGACCU
Molecule: long non-coding RNA, 216 nt
Filed under: Elaeis guineensis (African oil palm)
Lineage: Eukaryota; Viridiplantae; Streptophyta; Magnoliopsida; Arecales; Arecaceae
Description: long non-coding RNA (EGUI_LNC062788)
Source: RNAcentral